RNAcentral lists this ribosomal RNA (315 nucleotides) under uncultured eukaryote. RNAcentral's name for it is "partial 18S ribosomal RNA". It matches the Rfam family "Eukaryotic small subunit ribosomal RNA", at positions 1470 to 1796 of the family's 1831-position model. The record is from RNAcentral.
CCCCUAGAUGUUCUGGGCCGCACGCGCGCUACACUGACCAGUGCAACAAGCAUCCGUCCUUGGCCGACAGGCUCGGGCAAUCUUUGAACGCUGGUCGUGAUGGGGAUAGACUUUUGCAAUUUUUGGUCUUCAACGAGGAAUUCCUAGUAAACGCAAGUCAUCAACUUGCAUUGAUUACGUCCCUGCCCUUUGUACACACCGCCCGUCGCACCUACCGAUUGAAUGGUCCGGUGAAGCCUCCGGAUUGGCGCGCACCUCGGUGCCGCCGAGAAGUUGGCUAAACCUUACCAUUUAGAGGAAGGUGAANUCGUANCA